Molecule: long non-coding RNA, 912 nt
Filed under: Manihot esculenta (cassava)
Lineage: Eukaryota; Viridiplantae; Streptophyta; Magnoliopsida; Malpighiales; Euphorbiaceae
Description: long non-coding RNA (MESC_LNC001747)
Source: RNAcentral
UAUCGGUCUUUCCCCCAAAGAAGUUGACCAUGGUACCAUUCUUUUCCUUGAUCUCUAUACUCCUUAUCUAACUUAUUUAUUUUUUUCUUUUCCUUGUAGAGAUGGUGAGGGAUAAUGCUUCUUGAAUGAUGAAGGUUGCUGAGAAGAGGAGAAAAGAAACUAGCCAAUUAGACCAAUCAAAGUGGUCAAAAGCAAUAGGAGAGUCUUCUAAUUUGAUUCUUGCUUCGCAGGUGCAUGCCACCAUUGAGCUUCCUUCAUAUUCUGUAGAGACUAGACUUUCUCCAAUGCCUCCUUCUACUUUUGAUGACCUAUUGAGAGGUUAUACCAUGGUGGCAGACAACUACCUCCUAGUUAAAAAUAUUAGGAAGAAAUUUAUACUACCAGGAGACCAGGAGAGACUUGAUGCUGAGGAUGAUGAUAAUGGCUAUCAUCAUGCUAUGGCUGUGAACUUAGAAGUUAUGACCGCAAUUCAAGCAAGAAAGGAGAGAUUCCACAAGCUGCAUGGAGCCUUUGGAGAGCUUCAAACGCAAAAUAUUCUCCUCAUAACUGAGCUUGGCAACAUGCAUUCCUUGGCUUAUGGAGAUGACCUUAGAAAGAGAUGUUGAGAGGGCUAGAUUCAAGGAAGCUGAGAGGAAGCUAAAGGCUAGUGAUGACUAGAUACUUGACAUGUAUCUAGGUUUAUAGGGUUUCAUCAUGUCUAAGCUUAACUCGGGGACCCUACCGGGGACUACAAUUGGAUUUUGGACAUGGUUCAUGAAGCUAUAACUCCUACAAAUAAGGAGUGGCAUCAUGGUGAUGGUGGAAAUGAGCCUUAGUUUUUAGGUUUCCAUACUUUGUAUCUUGGCCUUGAAGGCCUUAGUUUCUUUGGUAAUUAUUUUAUAUGGAUAUCUACUAUGUUAUUUUGAAUUCUAU